UGCUCACAGCUCACAAAGGAAAAGGCAG
This 28-nucleotide unclassified non-coding RNA is filed under the name Mus musculus (house mouse). Its description in RNAcentral is "oocyte_clustered_small_RNA5675". Lineage: Eukaryota; Metazoa; Chordata; Mammalia; Rodentia; Muridae. The record is from RNAcentral.